CUCGUAGGCGGUUCGACAAGUCGGGUGUGAAAACUCCGGGCUCAACCCGGAGACGCCACCCGAUACUGUUGUGACUGGAGUCCGGUAGGGGAGUGGGGAAUUCCUGGUGUAGCGGUGAAAUGCGCAGAUAUCAGGAGGAACACCGGUGGCGAAGGCGCCACUCUGGGCCGGUACUGACGCUGAGGAGCGACAGCGUGGGGAGAAC
RNAcentral lists this ribosomal RNA (205 nucleotides) under uncultured bacterium. RNAcentral describes it as "partial 16S ribosomal RNA". It matches the Rfam family "Bacterial small subunit ribosomal RNA", at positions 568 to 771 of the family's 1533-position model. The record is from RNAcentral.